UGCGCAGGCGGGCUUGUAAGUCAGUGGCGAAAUACUGCCGCUCAACGGUAGAACUGCCAUUGAUACUGCAAGUCUUGAAUAUGGUUGAGGUAGGCGGAAUGUGUCGUGUAGCGGUGAAAUGCAUAGAUAUGACACAGAACGCCAAUUGCGAAGGCAGCUUACUAAGCCAUUAUUGACGCUGAGGCACGAAAGCGUGGGGAGCGAACAGGAUUAGAUACCCUGGUAGUCC
This 229-nucleotide ribosomal RNA is filed under the name uncultured bacterium. RNAcentral's name for it is "partial 16S ribosomal RNA". It matches the Rfam family "Bacterial small subunit ribosomal RNA", at positions 568 to 796 of the family's 1533-position model. The record is from RNAcentral.